Ipomoea nil (Japanese morning glory) is the source of this 543-nucleotide long non-coding RNA. RefSeq lists it as uncharacterized. The record is from RefSeq and is a predicted model, not a curated record. NCBI's taxonomy places the organism in Eukaryota, Viridiplantae, Streptophyta, Magnoliopsida, Solanales, Convolvulaceae. The transcript is spliced from 2 exons.
GCAGUUGUUCUUCUAUUCUUUCAUCACGCACUGAUGUACCAAACUAAGUGUAUUAUUGAAACUCCUAUAUUGUUAUUAGUCCUAUUUAAUUAUAAGUUUUCAUUGUUUCCCAUUGCCAUUGUUCGUUUCACUGGCGUGUGUUUUGUAGUUGUGUGCACUCUCAACGCAAACUGGGAGUGUUUAGCCACAUCAUUUUAGUAUACUCACAAUAAGGCCAAAAUCAUGGUCUAUAGGUAAGAAGUCAAAGGUAUCUCAUUCUCAACCUGGUGUCUCGCACAGUUGCAAGAGCGAUGAUGAUUUUGUUUGGCCACCUUUGACGUUCCUUGCGAGACUGCAAUAAGUCCCGGUGUGAAAUGCUCCAAUUUUUUUGCUCACGGUUGACAACUUGCAAAUGCCCAUGUUUAUAUUGUUUUUCCUUCUUUUUUUUUUUUUUUUUAAGGAUGUUUUAUAAUUGAUAGUACCACCGCUCAAAUACUUAUCAGGUCUUCACAACUAUUGAUUGUUAGAUCCUAAAUAUGAAAUAUUUUUGUCAUUGUUUGUUCU